Molecule: long non-coding RNA, 748 nt
Organism: Vitis vinifera (wine grape)
Lineage: Eukaryota; Viridiplantae; Streptophyta; Magnoliopsida; Vitales; Vitaceae
Exons: 2
Source: RefSeq, a predicted model, not a curated record
CAUUUCUCUCUCUCUUCACUUACUCACCACUCAAACCCGAGAACCAUCUGAAAUUUCUUACUUUCUCAAAAAUUCUUUCUCUCAUUUUGCUUUAACCCCUCAAAAUUUUCUCCAGAAACCUCAAAGCCAAACCCUAAUGGUUUGUUUUCUUCUUAUUCAUAGUUACCCAAAACAAACUGGAAAAACCCUAACCUUUGCCUUGUUUUCCUCUCAUCUUGGAACCCUCAAAACCCUAACUUUUGCCUCGUUUUCCUUUCAUCCUGAAAACCCAAAUCCCGUGAUGUUAACCUCUUCAUUUCCCAUAAACCCUCCAGAAUCACAAAAUUCAUGUAACUGAAAUGGAGAAAAUUGUUAACUCACAACUUCACGGUGUAGAUUCAGGGACAUGGGGAGUUGUAGGUGCUCCAUCGUUAUCUCUCUAAGGCUCUAGUUGUUAGUCUCUCUCUUCGUCGCCAUCAACAGGUUUAUUAUUUUGUUGAUUAUCAUUUUUCAAUUAAUGGAAGCAAUAGGGUCACCCUUGAAGGUGGGCAUACAGGUGUUGUUAAGGGUGUGCUUCCUAUGUUCGGCAAGCUGAUUGACACCACCCAAAGCGAAGGCAUUUUUGGAUGCAUCCGUUUUAAUUUAAUUUUUUUUCCAUAAAAAUUUUCAUUUCUUUUUAGUGGAGCAUGAAAUUUUCUGUUAGUGGUGGUGUGAAUUUUCUGUACAAUUUUUGUAUCUCUUUUAAUUUAAGAUUAGAUUGAAACUUUCA